GACGAACGCUGGCGGCGUGCUUAACACAUGCAAGUCGAACGAUGAACCACUUCGGUGGGGAUUAGUGGCGAACGGGUGAGUAACACGUGGGCAAUCUGCCCUUCACUCUGGGACAAGCCCUGGAAACGGGGUCUAAUACCGGAUACAACACUCUCGGGCAUCCGAUGAGUGUGGAAAGCUCCGGCGGUGAAGGACGAGCC
RNAcentral lists this ribosomal RNA (200 nucleotides) under uncultured bacterium. Its description in RNAcentral is "partial 16S ribosomal RNA". It matches the Rfam family "Bacterial small subunit ribosomal RNA", at positions 28 to 231 of the family's 1533-position model. The record is from RNAcentral.